UACGGAGGGUGCGAGCGUUAAUCGGAAUUACUGGGCGUAAAGCGCACGCAGGCGGUUUGUUAAGCUAGAUGUGAAAGCCCCGGGCUCAACCUGGGAUGGUCUUUUAGAACUGGCAGACUAGAGUCUUGGAGAGGGGAGUGGAAUUCCAGGUGUAGCGGUGAAAUGCGUAGAUAUCUGGAGGAACAUCAGUGGCGAAGGCGACUCCCUGGCCAAAGACUGACGCUCAUGUGCGAAAGUGUGGGUAGCGAACAGG
This 253-nucleotide ribosomal RNA is filed under the name uncultured bacterium. Its description in RNAcentral is "partial 16S ribosomal RNA". It matches the Rfam family "Bacterial small subunit ribosomal RNA", at positions 524 to 776 of the family's 1533-position model. The record is from RNAcentral.